Molecule: long non-coding RNA, 1506 nt
Organism: Aedes albopictus (Asian tiger mosquito)
Lineage: Eukaryota; Metazoa; Arthropoda; Insecta; Diptera; Culicidae
Exons: 3
Source: RefSeq, a predicted model, not a curated record
ACGUCCAUCUGGUGUACAAACAUCCGUUCCUGGUUCGCCACAGCCAGCAUGGUACGCAGCGUAUCCAAUUUUACAACCGGUGAGUAGGUUUCCGUGUAAUCAAAUCCGAAACGUUGGCUAAAACCUCUCGCGACAAGCCGGGCUUUGUAACGGUCUGGAUUUCCACCUUCGCCUGGCUUCACCCGGAACACCCACUUACACGAAAUCGGCACCCGACCCUUCGGUAGUGUCUCCAAUGUCCAGGUUUGGUUUCGCCGCAAGGAAUCCAUUUCGUCCUGUAUUGCUGCUUGCCACUUCGGCCAAUCCGCCCUCUUCUUCAAUUCCGCGAUACUGUCUGGAAGAUUCUCCACAUAUUCCAUUGCGCCCAAAGCAACUCCCGCAAAAGUCAUAUCAUAGUCCUUUGCCCACACUGGUGGCUUUCUCACUCGACCCGAUGACGUUGCACUGAUCGUCUCACCACCACUUGCUUCUUCAACAGUCUCAUCUUCCAGAGUAUCGUCACAAGAAUCGAAAAUUUCGGACACUUCACGUUCAGGCACUUCUUGUUCUUCAUGUUCUUCUUCAUGUUCUAUUUCCUGUUCUUCUUCAUAUUUUUUUUCGUCUUUAUCGGAUUCCCCACCGUUUUCAAUGUCAGUAAUUGGGGGGCCGACCACACUUUCAGUCCACUUAUUGUCUUUCUUUUCAUUUGCACUCACUUUCGAAGCUUCGUCGAUAAUCACAUCUCGAACAGUCACAAUUUUCCGCUCCUCGGGCUUCCACACUCGAUAACCGUUCGUUCCAUAUCCCACGAAGACUCCUUUCCAACUUUUCUCAUCAAGUUUUCGUCGCUUCUCUUUUGGAAUGUGGCAGUAGGCCAUGGAUCCAAACACUCGCAAUUUUGACACAUCCGGUUUUCUCCCUUCGAACAUUUCGUACGGUGUCAGCUUCUGGCCGAUGGCGCUAGCCGGACUCCUAUUGGCCAGGAACGCCGCGGUCUGCACCGCUUCGCCCCAGAACUUCCGACUGAUUCCGGAAUCGAAGACCAUCGAUCGAGCCUUCUCAACCAGUGUUCGAUUCAUCCGUUCAUUGGUGCCGUUCUGCUCCGGACAAUAAGGUAUAUUCCCCGCCGUUGUCAGAACGGAAGCGAGAAGUUUUCACCCCAAACUUCGCAGUCAUUUGCGCUUCGUACUCCUGAAAACGCUGAACCACCUCGUCCUUCGAAUGGAGUAGAUAAACCACCGUGAAUCUGGACCAGUCGUCGAUGAAGGUGACGAAAUAUUUGUGGCCAUUCCAUCCCGCCGGUGUCACUGGCCCGCAGACAUCAGAAUGUACGAGCUCCAGUACCCGACUCGAACGCCGCUCCUCUUGCAGCGUGAACGGAUUCCUCGCCCUUCACCAUUCCGUUCUUGAUGAGACACGACAAAUUGCGCUCCCCAAGAUGCCCAUAACGACGAUGCCACAACUCUGUUGCUUUAUUUAUUUGCCCGGAGAAAUACAAGGAACUGCACUCACCUUUUGCUGCGUAGA